RNAcentral lists this long non-coding RNA (1289 nucleotides) under Anas platyrhynchos platyrhynchos (common mallard). RNAcentral's name for it is "lncRNA (ENSAPLG00000027177.1)". Lineage: Eukaryota; Metazoa; Chordata; Aves; Anseriformes; Anatidae. The record is from RNAcentral.
CAAGUUCUGCACAGGAAGCAUCUCUUCCUAUAGGGCACUUGGCAAAGUGCUACAUAAAUUUAUGAGGCUAUAAUAAGUGAUUUGUUUUUACCAGUGUUAACAACAAUUUAUAUUUUUAUGCAGCAUGUUUUAAAAUAUUAUCUGUGACUUCCUCCCUUCCACUCUUCACAAUUAAGCCGGGAAUUUAUUAUUCUGACAGUCGGAUGCUCUCACAGCCCAAGCCCGCUCCUGCCUGCGGGGUUAGUGCAGCACUAGCGAUGGCCUGGCACCAUUAUGUCUCACGCAGUAACGCUCACAGCCUUUUCACUGGCUUCUCUGCUCUGUUUCCCCCCCAGAGAAGGAGCCGUCCAUCCCAGAGGACAGCGAGGAUUCCGGGAGCGGACAGAGAAAUGAACCACAAGGAUGCCACGAGGCUGGAGCAGCCCUGGAAAUCCCGCGGAGAGCUGCAGGCUGCUCCAGCCAAGACACCCAUUCGCUCUGCUCAGCUGCUUAACCCCUGCCUUCUGUGCUGGACGGGCUGCGGGGCUGCUUCUGCUGCACAAUCUCACCAGCCACAUCCAAACAGCACGCAUCCUGUCCGCAGAAAAAUAACAGGAGGCCGGGAGCCUGCCUCCUUACGCAGUCCCUGAGCAUGGCGGGAGGUUUCACCGAGCACAAGCACAGCAGCGAAAACCGACGGCUGUCACUAGGUUUCAGCAUCAACAGGCUUCUGAAACAACGAGCCCAAAGCAAAGGGCCGGGGGCAGAGCGCCUCCCCCACGGCCCUGCCUUGGGCUGCCCGGGCUGCAGAAGAAAAUGAGGCAGUUGUCACGUUCGGCUGGUUUUCUUAAUGACCCCAAGGCCCAUAAAUGUGGGAGCAGGCUCUCGUCCCACUUACAUCGGUGUAAAUCAGUCACACUGAAAUCAGUCUCUGCUCUGGGUGCAGGUUCAGGUAUCGAGCCAGGGCACCUGGGACAUCCACCGUCCCAUGAGGAGGUUGCAGAGCGAUGUUCUCCCUUGCCUGGCCUUAUCUUCAAGUGCUGAAACGGCAGCCAGGAUCCCUGUUCUGCGAACGGUCUUAAUUUUAGCAAGAUAUUUUCAACAGCUUGCACAAACAUCGUGCUUAUGAAACUGUGGCGAGGGAUUAAACGCAGAGCCUGGCUGUGCUCUCACUGCGAGGCAUCUUCAGCUGAUGCAAUUAAUUCUGACCUUUUGAAGGUAGCAUUGGUGGGAGGGGUGAGGCCUUCCAUCCAACCAGCUGAUGUUGUGGGAAAAAUAAACUUGAGGGAGCACAAAGCUUUCUGCUGAUG